This is a long non-coding RNA of Rattus norvegicus (Norway rat), 1262 nucleotides long. RefSeq lists it as uncharacterized. The record is from RefSeq and is a predicted model, not a curated record. Lineage: Eukaryota; Metazoa; Chordata; Mammalia; Rodentia; Muridae.
UCUGUCUAUGGUCACCAGCCAACAAGAUCUCCCUGCCCCCCACCUCAAGAAUACCACCAUGCAAACCCGCAGACCACGGAGGGCCAGCUCAGGUCUGGAUAUAUGCUUGGCAACAAAGCAGCGGUGGUACGAUGUAGACGCAGAUGUUCUGUUACCUAAGGAGGCCCACUUGGGCCAUAAACCCCAGCUGGAAGAUGCCCUUCUCUUCCCAGAGGCUGGAGGAGCCGUUUGUGGGGAGCCACGGAGUCACGUGAGUGGGUGCCCAGGCCAGGCAGAUUGUCCCCCGGCGCCUGCUUACACGGCAGCCCACGCAGAUGAGCCCCUAUAGACACAGAAUUCGUUUCCCUACAAAUGUCUGUGGUUGUAGCAAAUAAGGACUGGGAGACACUAAAGCCUACUCAAUUCUGUGGAAGAUGCCGCCUGGUGUUCGGAGGCGUUUCGGAGAGCUGUGUUAGCCACCUGUCAGGAAUGAUGAGGGAAGCAGACGGAGCUCUUUGGAGAAGCAUCAAACAAGUGUGAGGUGAAUCUGCAGGGAGAAGAUCAGGAUCCAAGCUCUGGAGAAGGUGCCAGUCCCAUUCCGGGUGAAUCUUCCCUCUUCAUCUAAACCUUUCUAGAAAUACUCUCAGAGACGUCGCCAGAAGAGUGUUUCCAGAGGUGAUUCAAACUCCAGUCAGGCUGACAGUGACGUCCCAAAGAGCCUUCCCAAACCACCAGCGGGACAUUAAUUCUGAAGUGAAAGUUGCAUGAGGAGAUAAGAGUCUCAAGGCCCUGACACAGACGCUGGGGACCUCAUUUCCAGCCCAUUAAGUGGGCAUCAAUGGACACCGCAACAAGAAGGGGGAGAGAAGGUGACCGGCUUUGAGUUCUGACUCAUACUUCAAGCUAUCCCUGGAGUUGGGAAACAAAGAGAGGACCUGAGUUCAGCCCCCAGCACCACCUCUAACUCCAGCCCUCGAGAAUCUGAAGCCCACAGUGUGGGUGGCUGUGCUUGAUGACAAAGCUCCAAGUCCUUCCAGAUCAGGUGGGUGGCAGCGGCCGGCCUGAAGACCUGGUCUCCUGCUCGCCAGCCGGCCUCUGCACCGCCCACCCCCCAAGGUGCUGGCUCUAGACCUCGGUCCCUGACAGACCUCCCACUGAAGCCACCUUGUCCCAACUGCGGAAAGAAACAUCACCACACACACUAUGGUAUCUGCUAUGCCUGUCACAUCACUUGUGCUACCUACAUCACCUGGUUCUCUCAUUAACCUUUUACUUUGUGUCAA